Molecule: non-coding RNA, 150 nt
Organism: Gossypium raimondii (Peruvian cotton)
Lineage: Eukaryota; Viridiplantae; Streptophyta; Magnoliopsida; Malvales; Malvaceae
Source: Rfam
UGUUAAAAUUCUAUCCAUUUGUGCUGUUAAAAACUGAUAUGGUUGACGAAAUAACCAAACAAUGACAUGUGACAUGCCACAUGCCACGUGUACCUCAUGUUAAGGUACAUGGACCAGUUUGAGCAACAGAAAUAGAGGAGAUCUUUAACA